GGAGGGGGUUUAGCGUUGUUCGGAAUUACUGGGCGUAAAGCGCACGUAGGCGGACUGGAAAGUUGGGGGUGAAAUCCCAGGGCUCAACCCUGGAACUGCCUCCAAAACUAUCAGUCUAGAGUUCGAGAGAGGUGAGUGGAAUUCCGAGUGUAGAGGUGAAAUUCGUAGAUAUUCGGAGGAACACCAGUGGCGAAGGCGGCUCACUGGCUCGAUACUGACGCUGAGGUGCGAAAGUGUGGGGAGCAAACAGGAUUAGAUACCCUGGUAGUCCACACCGUAAACGAUGAAUGCCCAGUCGUCGGGUAGCAUGCUAUUCGGUGACACACCUAACGGAUUAAGCGUUCCGCCUGGGGAGUACGGUCGCAAGAUUA
Molecule: ribosomal RNA, 371 nt
Filed under: uncultured organism
Description: partial 16S ribosomal RNA
Rfam family: Bacterial small subunit ribosomal RNA
Source: RNAcentral